UAGGAUAAUAGUUUAAUAAUAAUAUUUGAGUUGCAUUCAAAAGAUGUUGAAAUUCAACUUAUCUU
RNAcentral lists this transfer RNA (65 nucleotides) under Harpalinae sp. 2 ACP-2013. Its description in RNAcentral is "tRNA-Ala". The record is from RNAcentral. RNAcentral also lists the same sequence under 1 other name. Lineage: Eukaryota; Metazoa; Arthropoda; Insecta; Coleoptera; Carabidae.